GAUGAAGAACGUAGCGAAAUGCGAUAAGUAAUGUGAAUUGCAGAAUUCAGUGAAUCAUCGAAUCUUUGAACGCACCUUGCGCCCUUUGGACAUUCCGAAGGGCAUGCCUGUUUGAGUAUCAUGAACACCUCAACUCUCACGGCUUGUCCGUGAUGAGCUUGGACUUUGGGGGUCUUGCCGGCCUGUGGUCGGCUCCUCUCAAAUGGAUCAGCUUGCCAGUGUUUGGUGGCAUCACAGGUGUGAUAACUAUCUGCGCUUGUGGUUAUACAUCAGAUAACCUUCAGUGAUAUGGAGGUUCGCUGGAGCUCACAAAUGUCUCUCCUUAGUGAGGACAGCUCUUUGAACGUUUGAUCUCAAAUCAGGUAGGACUACCCGCUGAACUUAAGCAUAUCAAUAAGCGGAGGA
RNAcentral lists this unclassified non-coding RNA (405 nucleotides) under soil metagenome. Its description in RNAcentral is "partial contains 5.8S ribosomal RNA, internal transcribed spacer 2, and large subunit ribosomal RNA". The stretch from base 1 to 121 matches the Rfam family "5.8S ribosomal RNA", at positions 35 to 154 of the family's 154-position model. The record is from RNAcentral.